GGAAGUAGAACUGUGUCGUAGUGGUAGAACAUCUGCUUUCUAUGUUGAAAGGCCAGGUUCGAUUCCUGGCAUCUCCA
Molecule: transfer RNA, 77 nt
Filed under: Sphaerodactylus townsendi
Lineage: Eukaryota; Metazoa; Chordata; Lepidosauria; Squamata; Sphaerodactylidae
Description: tRNA-Arg
Source: RNAcentral